AAAAACAUAAUAUGACAUGAUAAUAAAACAAACUAAAGUUUCUCUUAAACUAUUUAUUACAUCAUCAAGCUCAAUGUUGGAGUCUCUAGCUAAUUCUAGUAAGAAUCUCAUAACUUCUUGGACUUCAACUUUAUCAAUUAUCAAUCUUUUGCUCCCCUUCUUCUUAUGGAUCCUUAUGCAGAAUCUGCAAGUGAUGUGCACAAUUGCACCUUAGUCCACCAUUAAGAGAAAAUAAUUUGCUAAGAACCUUAGUCAUAAUGAAACAACAUUAUCAACCUCAUUUGCAGUCACUUACUUAAGGAUCUACUUCUUCAUUAUUUACAAAUCUAACAAAAUCAAGAAUGCUCCAAGUCUCCUUAUUAGCAUUGCAGCUAGUCUUGAUGGGAGCAUAACAAGCUAGCAAAGAUGACAUAAUACUUUCCACGAGGAGACCAUCAUAGAUGUCCACUCCAAGUGAUUCUAACUCAUUUGGCAAGUUAAAUAUGCUCAAAAUUUGUCUCAUGACUCCACCUUGACCAUCAUAAAGUGAGGACAUAUUAGUAAUAAGGACAUUGGAAUACAUCUCAAGCGAAAUCUUAUAAUGUUCUUCAACUGACUUUAGUAGUUACUUAGCAUCCAACUCCCUUUCAUCUAUCUUAUCAGGAAUGCCUCCCCUUAUGUCUAUUAACAUCAAUUACUUAAUGAUCCUUUUGACAAUUCUGUUGAAUUUCUCCUACUUCUCAAUGUCAACAGUGUAAUUAUCAAACUUAUGAGCAUAUUCAAAACUGUCACACAUAAUGGGAGCUACAGGCUUAUCCUCACGUAAUGCAUAAUAAAGGUCAAGAAUCAUGAGGACCUCUUGCACAUCUUUCUUCUAGGCAUGAAAAUUAUUGCCAUUGAGAGGAAUAAUGGCUCUUAGUGAAACUGCAAUAUCCUCAACUGAAAAUUAUAGUAACAACAUAAUAUUUUAGUAAUAGCACAAUAAGAUGCACAUAAAAGCACGAAAUUAACCCUAUGGUGAUCUGAUUAAAAUCAUGCAAUAAGUUUCAAUUUGUAUCACCAGUGGGCAAAAAACAAACAAAACUUAUCGUUGACUCAUAAUUAAAACAACGGUGGUCAGAAUUAAUUACAAGUGUACUCUAAUCGAACUUCUCAGUGGUUCCAUUCAAUUAGAGAGCAUCUUAAUUGUACUUGGUGGAAAACCAUAAUUUUCAGUGUAAUUACGCAACUUAAAUAGUAAUUAACAUAAUUUAAACAGCUCAUCGAAAAUAAACAUAAACAAUGAAUUAAAUAAUGAACACUAAUGCAAUAUUUAAUCUUGAACAUAAUGGAAACAUUAAAUAAACUAACUCAUUCUAAAAUUAAACUUAAACUUAAACAUAAUGGAAUCAUGCCAACAUAGCACAAAGUAUUUAAUGGAAUAAGAUUGCACUAUAAUUUAAGGGCUCAUAAAAUUUAAAUCUCAACUUUAUUAAGCAGUGCAUAAACAUUAACAUCAUAAAUUGCACUAAAAAUAAUAUGGCUCAUAAAUCUUAUAGCCAAAACUCAAAUAUGACUUUAUUGAAAAUUUCCCAAACUUAUUCUUAAUGUGCCUUUAAAAUGCCAAAUAAGUUAAGGGAAGAAAACUUAUUCAAAAUGCGAAAAUCUACUAGUAAUUGGCAAUGAACUUCAUUGCAUACAAAAAUCGUAGAUUACUAAAAAUGUGUGACAUAAGCAUUAAGUGACUUAAUACCCAAAUUUACUCUUAAUUUGACCUUUAAAACAAAUUACCAGAAUAAUGGAAAUUUAUUCAUGAUGAGAAAAUCUACUGUUAACAAACUUAUUAACUCAAGACUUGUUGAAAUAUCAUCAAAUAAAUUGAAGCCUAAAAACAAGUAAACGCUUAUGGGAAAUAAAUAAAAAUAAAACAUAAAUUGUAAAGGCAAAACAUUAAUUUGGCUAAGAAAACGUCGAAAUUAGCCCAUGAACUAAAACAGCCCGCAACGACCCAUAACACAUCGUAGCACAACUCCCUUUACUCGCGCAUUUGACCCAGCCCACCGAAGCCUGCUCUUGGCUCAGCCUUUUUCGAAAACAGCCCAACUUGGCCCAUCAUCGACUUGGCCUGCCACCACGACCUGCUCCCACAGUGUCAGAUGCGGGAGCCGCCGUAACCGUCCGAUCAAGAUCGGGCGCCCAGGGUUCACGGUGCUGAGCACCAAGGCUCACGUGGCCGAGCCAACCCUAGCCGGCCCUCACUCUCUCAGCCGCCUUUCUCCUCCUCCCCUCCUCUCUCCCUAUCCCGAUGAGCACCACGGUCACCGUCGCCGUGGCUUCACCGCCACCCUUGCCAGCAUCGCCGCGGGCCCUCCCACCAGUGCCACAUGCGACCUAGUCACGUGUGGUCCAUCAGGGGGGCCCGCUGGGUUGUGUCUAUGGUGGGCGCGCGAACGGUAGCGCGGGAGAAGCGGCGCAUCCGCUCCGUCCCCCGAUCCGGCGGUGCGCCGGUGAGCCAAGGCUGAUGGCUCCGAGAGGGGGGUCGAAGGUCCGGGUGCGGCGAGUCUCAAGCCACAAAGCUUGGAAUGGCGACAUGAAGCGUACUGUCCCGGCUGCUAAAGGCGCACGCUCAUCAGCAACUCAAGCCAUGGGCGUCCCUUGCUGAUGCAGCUUGUCAGGGAGGCGGCUGUCAUCCACGCGCGACGGCCUCAUGCUAUGCGCUGUCGGCAACCAGGUAAGAUCCCUAACCUUCAUCUUAGGGUUAGGGUUCUUCGAGAUUUGGGGAAUUUUUGGGGAAAAAAAUUGGAGCUUUUACUUAAACUUUUCGUGAUUUGCCCAAUUCCUCUCCUAAUGGCUGAUGCACACUUCAAUUUCAUGAAUUGAAUACUAAUCGUGCUAGAUUUAGGCUUAACAGCGCAGAAUUUGGGGAAAACUAGGAAACAGUGAACCCUAGGCCCUAAUUUCUCAACUUAAUCCUGAAAUUUGGCUUUACUGCGGCUCGGAUUUGCUAACUUAGGUACUAAUUAGCCACAAAAGCAUCUAAUUCGGUACUGAUUAAACUAACGGAUCAAUUAUGUUAAACUUGAACAUAAUUAGCCGAACUAGAUUAGAACUUAAUUACUCAUGUGACGUGCAUAAAUUAAUCUGCGGAAGCCUAAUUGCAAACUUACAAGCACAUAAGAUCUAAUGGCAAUUUAAUUCUAACCUUGAUCACUUAAUUUGCACAUAACUUGUAUAGGAUUUGAUCUGCAUCAUCACUAAUUGCUCAUGUUCAAGCAUAACAGAUCCAAUCUACACUAAUUGCACGUGAAACUUUAACCAGAUUGCACUGUGCAUCACUGAUUGCGCGUGACAUUUGCAAAAAUCAUAAUGCAGAGACUUAAUUGCAUAUGAACAUGUACUAAUUGCACAUCAAGAAUUAAUCUGCAUAAACUUAAUCACUUAUGGCUCUUAAAAUCUAAACCGACACUAAUCAGAGGUCUAAACUUGAUUAGCUCCGGCUAUUAGGAUCGUGUCAGGACUAAGAUGGCUCAUGAUACCGAUUGUUAGAUUUAACUUAGUCUAGCAUUAACUUAAACAAGAUCUCAGCUUAGUCUAAUCAUGACCACUAAUCAUAAUUAAUGCGGAAUACUUAGAUUAGACUAACCAGAGCCUUGAGAGUCCAUUGAUUUGCCUCUGAUGUCGAUGUAGAUGCUUGAUGUAGUAGUAGCAGUGAAGAUUAACCACCAGAUUAAGAACAAAGGUUCUCAAUCUGAUGAUCCGUGGCCUGGACGUGGGUACGAGCUUCUACCGCUUCAGUGCCCUUAGCAAUCGGAUUAGAUCUGUUCUGGUGGAAGAACAGAUCGGUUUCGGGUGGCUAAUCACG
Molecule: long non-coding RNA, 3820 nt
Filed under: Setaria italica (foxtail millet)
Lineage: Eukaryota; Viridiplantae; Streptophyta; Magnoliopsida; Poales; Poaceae
Description: long non-coding RNA (SITA_LNC000266)
Source: RNAcentral